AUUCAAAUUAAUCUACCUAAUACAAUGCUUAUUUACUCACAUUCUUUUGAAUUAAUCAUGCAUUAUCUCAUAGCUCUGAUAUUUUGAUGAUGAGAUUGUUUAUUUUUAGAACAACAUUAUCAGAUAGGUGUAAGAGGCCAGAUCUGGCCAGCUUGGGCAUAAAACUAGUAGAAUAUUUGGACUGGACAUUGCUGGCUUAAAUGCAAUAAACUUAAAGCUACAUUCU
Molecule: long non-coding RNA, 226 nt
Organism: Octopus sinensis (East Asian common octopus)
Lineage: Eukaryota; Metazoa; Mollusca; Cephalopoda; Octopoda; Octopodidae
Exons: 3
Source: RefSeq, a predicted model, not a curated record